GGGCCCAUAGCUCAGUUGGUUAGAGCCACCGGCUCAUAACCGGAAGGUCGUAGGUUCGAGUCCUACUGGGCCCACCA
RNAcentral lists this transfer RNA (77 nucleotides) under Terriglobia bacterium. RNAcentral's name for it is "tRNA-Ile". It matches the Rfam family "tRNA". Rfam says of the family: Transfer RNA (tRNA) molecules are approximately 80 nucleotides in length. Their secondary structure includes four short double-helical elements and three loops (D, anti-codon, and T loops). The record is from RNAcentral. Lineage: Bacteria; Pseudomonadati; Acidobacteriota; Terriglobia.